UAGGAUCCGUAUAGUUUAAUGCGUAAUCAAUUCCCUCAUCUUGAGAUGUACGACGCACGUAUUCAACAGCUUGCCAGUAGGUUUCAUUUUUAACUCCACCCCAUUCCAAAGAUGCCAAAAAUCCAUCUUGACCAGAUGAAAAAGCGGGUACAAUAUUUGGUUUUCCUCCUUCUGUUCCCAUAUAUUUAUUGUUAUAUUCAACAAUAUCCUCUAAAGAAUGUAUCUCUGUAUUUUUUACUUCUGAUAAAUAACUUUUUAUAUUGUUGUAGAAAUCCACUUUGACAACCGUAUAUUCUGAUUCAUUGACGGAACCCAAUUCCCAAUUCCAUCCAUCAUUAGAAAUUACAUCCAGGUUAUAAAAAUUUGUAUUGUUGUAAACAAUAGCCCCGGCUUCUUCGAUUUGUUUAACUACCUCUAAUAAACGAUCAAUUUCGUCAGCCUUAGCAUUUUGCCAAAGCCUUUUCCAUGGAAGUCCAAAUCUCGCGCCUUCUAAAGAUGUUUUGUUGGAUAAAAAUUUCAUGUAAUCACCAUCUUCAGGAGUCUUUCCUGUCUGGUUCAAAGUGUAAAUAUCAUUUUCAUCAAUACCCCACAUAGACUGGAAAACAUAAACAGCGUCUCGAACUGUUCUGGCAAUUGGGCCUGUUGUGUCUUGGUGUUCAGACUCUGGAAUAACGCCAUAUCGAGAGGUCAGUCCUACUGUGGGCUUCAAACCUACAACCCCAUUUCGCAUGGCUGGGUCAAUUAUACUUCCAUCAGUUUCAGUCCCCAAUGCAAAUGCAAUCAUGUUUGAGGCAACUGAUAUUGCGGACCCAGAUGAUGAGCCGCCCGGAUUCACUGUUAGAUUAAAUGGGCACCUUGAUUGCCCACCACGUGCAGAAUAGCCCUCACUGUAGUCAUUAGACCUCAUAUCUGCCCAUUCUGAAAGCGUCGCAUGUCCAAAUAGUACUGCCCCUGCCUCUCUCAAUUGCUUGACUACGUACGCGUCUCUAGGAACGAUUGAGCCCAACAAAGCAUAAGAACCAGCUGUGGUGUCCAUCUUGUCUUUUGUUGCAAAAUUAUCUUUCACUAUAAAUGGGAUACCAUGUAGUGGUCCUCUAAUUAUCCCAUUAGCUCGUUCAUCAUCUAGUUCCGAAGCAAUUGUCAAUACGUCAGGGUUAAGUUGUAGAAUUCCAUUAACGUAGGGAUUUACUUGUAGAUACC
Molecule: non-coding RNA, 1200 nt
Organism: Schizosaccharomyces pombe (fission yeast)
Lineage: Eukaryota; Fungi; Ascomycota; Schizosaccharomycetes; Schizosaccharomycetales; Schizosaccharomycetaceae
Source: the annotation of a GenBank genome assembly